Molecule: long non-coding RNA, 1128 nt
Organism: Vespa mandarinia (Asian giant hornet)
Lineage: Eukaryota; Metazoa; Arthropoda; Insecta; Hymenoptera; Vespidae
Source: RefSeq, a predicted model, not a curated record
AGAAAAUGAGAGAGAGAGAGAGAGAGAGAGAGAGAGAGAGAGAGAGAGAGAGAGAGAGAGAGAGAGAGAAACAUUUUGGAAAAUGGAAAGCAUCAAAUUAAACUGUGAUACGCAUAAAAUUUUGCGUACUCCUUUUAUCGCUGACACUUUAAUCUCUUAUAUAAUUUAUGUAUCAUAUAUAUAUAUAUAUAUAUAUAUAUAUAUAUAUAUAUAUAUAUACAUGUUAAUAAUGUCUAUUUCGCACAAACAAAAUAAAAAACGAAAGCUUUCAUCGGUGGACUCAAAAAUAAAAAAAAACGAAUAGGAAGACAAUGGCGGAAAUGUAUCUAGCUUUACUAUAUACAUAUAUAUUUACAUACUAUACAUACUAUACAUACAUACAUACAUACAUACAUACAUACAUACAUACAUACAUACAUACAUACAUACAUUCAUAAGUACGAACGUACAUACAUGUAGAUAUUCUGUUGUAAGCGAGAACGAGUACGAUAUAUAUAUAUAUAUAUAUAUAUGUGACUAAGGAUUUAAAUAAUAAAUGAUCUAGACAAUCAGGAAACGAUAUAGUAGGAUUUCUCCGAAAGAUCGAACGAACUUCGUCCGCAUCAUUCUCUCUUCCCAGGCACGUAUAUUAAUAAUAAAUACAUACAUUUAUACAUACAUACAUAUAUAUAUAUAUAUAUAUAAAUAUAUAUAUAUAUAUGUAUGUAUGUAGGUAUAUAUUAUAUGUAAUAAGAAUAAAAUACGGGCGAAUAUACGAUCAACAAUAAUACUGAUAAUAAUAAUAUUAAUAAAGAAAAUAGGAUAUUAUGAAUAAUUGAUCCUAUAAUGAUGAUUAACGAUAAUAAUAAUAAUAAUAAUAAUAAUAAUAAUAAAUAAUGAUCAAUAAACAUCGCAGGAUAAGCGAUGAAUUAAACGGGAUAAAAAAUUGAAUGUCUUGUAUAUAGUGAAUGUAUAAAUAUCAUUAUUGUAUAGUGAUCAUGAUAAAUAGUAGCCAAAUAUGCGAUUGUAUUUUAAAUGUUCACACUCUUUCCUUUUGUUAUAACAUAUAUAUAUAUAUAUAUAUAUAUAUAUAUAUAUAUAUAUUUAAUCGAAUGAUCGGUUGAACAAAUAAAGGAUUCUUAUUUGAAA